GUGAGGAAUAUUGCGCAAUGGGGGAAACCCUGACGCAGCGAUGCCGCGUGGGUGAAGAAGGCCUUCGGGUCGUAAAGCCCUGUCGGGUGGGAAGAACAGUCUGGGAGUUAAUACCUCUCAGGUUUGACGGUACCACCGAAGGAAGCACCGGCUAACUCCGUGCCAGCAGCCGCGGUAAGACGGAGGGUGCGAGCGUUAUUCGGAAUCAUUGGGCGUAAAGGGUGUGCAGGCGGCUGGUCAAGUCAGAUGUGAAAGCCCAGGGCUUAACCCUGGAAGUGCAUUUGAAACUGGUCGGCUUGAGUUCGGGAGAGGGAAGCGGAAUUCCGGGUGUAGAGGUGAAAUUCGUAGAUAUCCGGAGGAACACCGGUGGCGAAGGCGGCUUCCUGGACCGAAACUGACGCUGAGACACGAAAGCGUGGGGAGCAAACAGGAUUAGAUACCCCGGUAGUCC
Molecule: ribosomal RNA, 451 nt
Filed under: uncultured bacterium
Lineage: Bacteria
Description: bacterial SSU rRNA
Rfam family: Bacterial small subunit ribosomal RNA
Source: RNAcentral